AGCUCCAAUAGCGUAUAUUAAAGUUGUUGCAGUUAAAAAGCUCGUAGUUUGAUUUCUGGACGGGCGCCAACACCCGCUUGUUAGUGUGGAGGCGGCACCCGCCCAUCCUUCUGUUAACGCCGCCGGCAUUUGUUUGCUGGUGGCGGGCUCAGAUAUUUUACCUUGAGAAAAUUAGAGUGUUUCAGGCAGGCUUGCGCCUAGAUACAUUAGCAUGGAAUAAUAGAAUAGGACUUUGACCUCUUCUGUUGGUCUGAGGGGUGAGAGUAAUGAUUAAUAGGGAUAGUUGGGGGCAUUAGUACUUAACUGCUAGAGGUGAAAUUCUCAGAUUUGUUAAAGACUAACUUAUGCGAAAGCAUUUGCCAAGGAUGUUUUCAUUA
RNAcentral lists this ribosomal RNA (377 nucleotides) under Strombidinopsis sp. RNAcentral's name for it is "SSU rRNA". It matches the Rfam family "Eukaryotic small subunit ribosomal RNA", at positions 587 to 975 of the family's 1831-position model. Lineage: Eukaryota; Ciliophora; Spirotrichea; Choreotrichida; Strombidinopsidae. The record is from RNAcentral.